Molecule: long non-coding RNA, 10071 nt
Filed under: Malus domestica (apple)
Lineage: Eukaryota; Viridiplantae; Streptophyta; Magnoliopsida; Rosales; Rosaceae
Description: long non-coding RNA (MDOM_LNC017157)
Source: RNAcentral
CUGGCGGUUGGCAAUUCUGACUCUGCAUCGGGUGAAGUGAGUCAUGUAACAGGUUUGAAGGAAGCUGAAACAGAAAAGGAGGAGCAGAAAGAAAACAUCGAUACUGCUCCAGAAGAGAAGGGUCAAGCAACCAUCUUAAAAGAUGAAACGGCCUCGGAAGUUGAAGAUAUUGGUGUACAAGCAGAGGAAAAUUGUGAAUCAAAAGAGAAUUUGGAGGAGCAUAUUCCAACAGCAGCAGAUGAGGGUGAAGCAUUCUCGAAGGAAGCCGAUGUGCAAGCAGAGAAAAAUGAAAAAUCCUUCGACGUGGAAGAUACCAAUGUGCAAGCAGAGAAAAAUGUCGAAUCAAAUGAGAACUUGAAGGAGAAUAUUCCAAGAGCAGCAGAUGAAGGUGAAACAUUUCCGAAGGAAGCUGAAGCAGAAAGCAAGGAUGAGAUUAAAAAUGACGAUAUUGUUCAUCCAGAUAUUGAUGGAGACGGAGAUGAAAUCGAUAGUUCUGAAGAGAACUUGGAUAAGCAGAUUCCAGCAGGGGAAUGUGAAACAAGCUUGAAAGCAGCCGAAGCAGAAUAUAAGGAGCAGGUCAUUCAUGCUGAUAUUGCUCCUGAAGAGAAGGGUCUAGCAACCAUCUUAACAGAUGAAACACCCAAGGACUGUGUCGAAUCAAAAGAGAAAGUGGAGGAGCAGAUUACAACAGCAGAUGAAGGCGAAAAAAGUACUUAUAUUUCUCCUGAAGAUAGUGAAGUACAAGAAGAUGAAAAUUUUAUUACACUAGAGAAUUUGGAGAAGCCGAUUCGAACAACAUCAGGUGAACGAGAAACAGGCUUGGGAGAAGCUGAAGCAGAAAUUAAGGAGCAGGUCAAAAGUAUUGAUAUUGUUCCUGAAGAGAUGGCAACCAUCUCAACAACUGAGACACCCUUGGACGUUGAAGAUAUCGGUGUACAAGCAGAGGAAACUCUCAAAUCAAAAGAGAACGUGGAGGAGCAUAUUCCAACAGCAGCAGAUGAAGGUGAAAAAUUCUUGAAGGAAGCCGAAGCAGAAAACAAGGCGCAGAUUGACGAGGAAACUUUGAAUUCACAAGAAUCCUCAGACAAAGAAAAAGAAGAAGUGACUGAAAUUACAAACACAAAAGAUGACACUGAAAGGGAGGAGGUAAGAUCGGAAUAAACUUUUUUAUGAGUUUUUCUCUCUGGCUUAUCAUCUGUUUAGUUAUUGACCGAUAUGCAGGAUUCAUAACGUAUCACUGAUAAAUAUGAAUAUGCGAAAAUACGAUGGUUUAUUUUUAAUAUGGUACAAACGAUUUCUAAAAUCUAUUUUCUCCUUAUAUAUUAUGACGGUUUCAUCUCUAAUGUAGGUGCUUGAGACUACCAGCACGGAGCAAGAAACUGGAGAACAUGUGGUACACGAAAUUCAUAGAGUCCCAGAACCUCCUCGAGAUUCCAUUGAUAAAGAAACAAAUGAAGACAACUCCGCGGAAUAUCAGGUUUACCUGGACACAAACAUAAAGCCUACAAGUGCUGUCCUUUUUCUUCGUCUCCCAGUACAUAACCUAUGUUUUUUUUCCCUUCCAAUGUUAGGCAUGUACUGAGGUAGCUGAUGUGAGUACAAGUGCAGAGGAAAAGAACUUAGAGGAACAUGCCAUUCGGGAACUCUCUUCUCCACUGGUAGUAGAAGAAGCAACUAAAGAAAUCCCGGAAGUUGAAAGGCAGGACAAAAACAUUGAUACUGCACCUGAAGAAAAGGGUCAAGCAACCAUCUCAGCAGAUGAAAUGGCCUCGGAAGUUGAGGAUAUUGAUGUACAAUUAAAGGAGAAUCUUGAGUCAGAAGAGAACUUGGAGGAACAAUUUCUGAUAGCAGCAGAUGAAGGUGAAAUAAUCUCCAAAGAUGCCAAAGCAGAAAACCAGGAGCAGAUAAAAAAUGUUGAUAUUGCUCAUGAAGAUGUUGAUGCACAAGCGGAGAAAACUGUCAACUCAGAAGAGAACAUAGAUAAGCAGAUUCCUUCAAUAGCACAUGAAGGUGAAACAAGCUUGAAAGAAACCGCUGUCUUGAUUCUAAAAGAAGAGGUUAGCAUGAUAUAAGAAUUUUCGAUUUUUUUCAUUAUAGUCUAUUGCAUUACAUAUUCCAAUCAAGAAUUGAUAUCCCCUGCAGAAAAAGGAAGAAGAUACAGAAUGUAACGAGCCUUCUGAGGUAGCGAGUAUGACACAUGAAACACGAACUGAAACCACAGAGGACAUAACAGAGCCAAAUAAGGACCUCAAUGCUCCAAUUUCAGGAGAAAGCAACAAAACAUUUGUUGAAAAUAUUUCCACUCUCGCUGAGGUAUCUGAGAUGGAGACUGAGAAAAAUGGCCUGGCUGUCAGCAAUUCUGACUCUGCGUCGGGUGAAGUGAGUCAUGUAACAGGUUUGAAGGAAGCUGAAACAGAAAAGGAGGAGCAGAAAGAAAACAUGGAUACUGCUCCGGAAGAGAAGGGUCAAGCAACCAUCGUAAAAGAUGAAAUGGCCUCGGAAGUUGAAGAUAUUGGUGUACAAGCAGAGGAAAAUUGUGAAUCAAAAGAGAAGUUGGAGGAGCAUAUUCCAACAGCAGCAGACAAGGUUGAAACAUUCUCAAAGGAAGCCGAGGCAGAAAAUGAGGAGCAGAUAAACAAUGGUGAUGUUGCUGCUGAAGAGAAGGUUUCGGAAACCAUCUUAACAAAUGAAAGAACCUUCGACGUGGAAGAUACCAAUGUGCAAGCAGAGAAAAAUGUCGAAUCAAAUGAGAACUUGGAGGAGACUAUUCCAACAGCAGCGGAUGAAGGCGAAACAUCCCUGCAGGAAGCUGAAGCAGAAGGCAAGGAUGAGAUUAAAAGUACUGAUAUUGCUCAUGCAGAUACUGAUGGACAUGGAGAUGAAAUUGAUAAUUCUGAAGAGAACUUGGAUAAGCAGAUCCCAGCAGGCGAACGUGAAAUAAGCUUGAAAGCAGCCGAAGCAGAAUAUAAGGAGCAGGUCAAACAUGCUGAUAUUGUUCCUGAAGAGGAGGGUCUAGCAACCGUCUUAACAGACGAAACACCCUUAGAUGUCGAGGAUAUUGAGGUAAAAACUGACUGUGUCGAAUCAAAAGAGAAUGUGGAGGAGCAGAUUCCAACAACAGUAGAUGAAGGCGGAAAAAGUACUUAUAUUUCUCCUGAAGAUAUUGAAGUACAAGCAGAUGAAAAUUUUAUUACACUAGAGAAUUUGGAGAAGCCAAUUCUAACAACAUCAGGUGAACGAGAAACAGGCUUGGGAGAAGCUGAAGCAGAAAUUAAGGAGCAGGUCAAAAGUAUUGAUAUUGUUCCUGAAGAGAUGGCAACCAUCUCAACAGCUGAGACACCCUCGGAUGUUGAAGUUAUCGGUGUACAAGCAGAGGAAAGCCUCAAAUCAAAAGAGAGCGUGGAGGAGCAGAUUCCAACAGCAGCGGAUGAAGAUGAAAGAUUCUUGAAGGAAUCCAAAGCAGAAAACAAGGAGCUGAUCGACGAGGAAAAUUUGAAUUUACAAGAACAAGUGACUGAAAUUACAAACACAAUAGAAGAUGACACUGAAAGGGAGGAGGUAAGAUCGGAAUAAAUUUUUUUAUGAGUUUUUCUCUCUGGCUUACCAUCUGACAAGUAGUCUCCCUACACGGUUUUGUUAUUGAUUAAGAUGCAAGAUUCAUAACGUAUCACAGAUGCAUAUGAACAUGCGAAGAAACUAUGUUUUAUUUUAAAAUGGUAAGAACGAUUUCUAAAAUCUAUUUUCUCCUUAUAUAUUAUGAUGGUUUCAUCUCUAAUGUAGGUGCUUGAGACUACCAGUACGGAGCAAGAAACUGGAGAACAUGUGGUACACGAAAUUCAUACUGUCCCAGAACCCCCUCGAGACUCCAUUGAUAAAGAAACAAAUGAAGACAACUCCGCGGAAUAUCAGGUUUACCUGGACACAAACAUAAGGCCUACAAAAGUGUGAUCCUUUUUCUUCGUCUCCCAGUACAUAACCUUUGUUUUUUUUUUCCCUUCCAAUGUUAGGCAUGUACUGAGGCAGCUGAUUUGAGUACAAGUGCAGAGGAAAAGAACUUAGAGGAACAUGCCAUUCGGGAACUCUCUUCUCCACUGGUAGUAGAAGAAGCAACUAAAGAAAUCCCGAAAGAAGAAGAAACCUACCCCACGCUUCUAGAAGAAGAGGUAAUCUAGCAUUCAAUAUCAAAUUUUUAGAUUAAAAUACACUAUAGUAUUAUCUUGCAAAUUGAAAUUUACAACUCAUAUCGGCAACAGGAAAAGGAAGGGCAUGCAACAUGUAACAAGCCCAAUGAGGAAUAUGAGGCAGAGAUUGAGAAAAAUAUUCAGGAGAAAGAUGGCAACACAGUUAGCAAUUCUGAAUCUCUGUCUGGAGAACUGAGUCAUGUAACAGCCUUGAAGGAAUGUGAAACAGAGAUUGAAAGGCAGGACAGGAACAUUGAUACUGCUCCUGAAGAGAAGGGUCAAGCAACCAUCUCAGCAGAUGAAACAGCCUCGGAAGUUGAGGAUAUUGAUGUACAAUUAAAGGAGAACCUUGAGUCUAAAGAGAACUUGGAGGAACAAUUUCCAACAGCAGCAGAUGAAGGUGAAAUAAUCUUGAAAGAAGCUGAAGCAAAAAACCAGGAGCAGAUAAAAAAUGUUGAAAUUGCUCAUGAAGAUGUUGAUGCACAAGCGGAGAAAACUGUCAACUCAGAAGAGAACAUAGAUAAGCAGAUUCUGCCAAUAGCACAUGAAGGUGAAACAAGCUUGAAAGAAACCGCUGUCUUGAUUCUAAAAGAAGAGGUUAGCAUGAUAUCAGAAUUUUCGAUUUUUACAUUAUAGUUCAUUGUAUUACAUAUUCCAAUCAAGAAUUGGUAUCCCCCUGCAGAUAAAGGAAGAAGAUACAGAAUGUAAUGAGCCUGCUGAGGUAGCGAGUAUGACACAUGAAACACGAUCUGAAACCACAGAGGACAUAACAGAGCCAAAUAAGGACGUCAAUGCUCCAAUUUCAGGAGAAAGCAACAAAACAUUUGUUGAAAAUAUUUCCACACUCGCUGAGGUAUCUGAGACGGGGACUGAGAAAAAUGUUCAGGAGAAAAAUGGCCCGGCUGUCAGCAAUUCUGACUCUGCGUCAGGUGAAGUGAGUCAUGUAACAGGUUUGAAGGAAGCUGAAACAGAAAAGGAGGAGCAGAAAGAAAACAUUGAUACUGCUCCGGAAGAGAAGGUUCAAGCUACCGUCUUAAAAGAUGAAAUGGCCUCGGAAGUUGAAGAUAUUGGUGUACAAGCAGAGGAAAAUUGUGAAUCAAAAGAGAAGUUGGAGGAGCAUAUUCCAACAGCAGCAGACAAAGUUGAAACAUUCUCAAAGGAAGCCGAGGCAGAAAAUGAGGAGCAGAUAAACAAUGGUGAUGUUGCUGCUGAAGAGAAGGUUUCGGAAACCAUCUUAACAAAUGAAAGAACCUUCGACGUGGAAGAUACCAAUGUGCAAGCAGAGAAAAAUGUCGAAUCAAAUGAGAACUUGGAGGAGACUAUUCCAACAGCAGCGGAUGAAGGCGAAACAUCCCUGCAGGAAGCUGAAGCAGAAAGCAAGGAUGAGAUUAAAAGUACUGAAGCAGAAAGCAAGGAUGAGAUUAAAAGUGCUGAUAUUGUUCCUGAGGAGAAGGGUCUAGCAACCGUCUUAACAGAUGAAACACCCUUAGAUGUCAAGGAUAUUGAGGUAAAAACUGAGGACUGUGUUGAAUCAAAAGAGAAUGUGGAGGAGCAGAUUCCAACAACAGCAGAUGAAGGCGAAAAAAGUACUUAUAUUUCUCCUGAAGAUAUUGAAGUACAAGCAGAUGAAUUUAUUACACUAGAGAAUUUGGAGAAGCCGAUUCUAACAUCAGGUGAACGAGAAACAGGCUUGGGAGAAGCUGAAGCAGAAAUUAAGGAGCAGGUCAAAAGUAUUGAUAUUGUUCCCGAAGAGAUGGCAACCAUCUCAACAGCUGAGACACCCUCGGAUGUUGAAGUUAUCGGUGUACAAGCAGAGGAAAGCCUCAAAUCAAAAGAGAACAUGGAGGAGCAGAUUCCAACAGCACCAGAUGAAGGUGGAAAAUUCUUGAAGGAAUCCAAAGCAGAAAACAAGGAGCUGAUCGACGAGGAAAAUUUGAAUUCACAAGAAUCUUCAGACAAAGGAAAACAAGAAGUGACUGAAACUACUAACACACUAGAAGAUGACACAGCAAGGGAGGAGGUAAGAUUGGAAUAAACCUUUUCAUGAAUUUUUCUUUCGGUCUUAUCAUCCGACAAGUAGUUUCCUUAACGCGGUUUAGUUAUUGACCGAAAUGCAGGAUUCAUAACGUAUCACUGAUAGAUAUGAACAUGCGAAAAAACAAAGUUUUAUUUAAAAUGGCACAAACGAUUUGUAAAAUCUAUUCUCUCCUACAUAUUACGACGGUUUCAUCUUUAAUGUAGGUGCUUGAGAAUACCUGCACGGAGCAAGAAACUGGAGAACAUGUGGUACACGAAAUUCAUACUGUCGUGGAAACCCCUCGAGAUUCCGUUGAUAAAGAAACAAAUGAAGAGAACUCCGCGGGAUAUCAGGUUUACCUGGACACAAACAUAAAGCCUACAAAAGAGUUAUCCUUUUUCUUCGUCUCCCAGUGCAUAACCUUUGUGUUUUUUUCCUUCCAAUGUUAGGCAUGUACUGAUGCAGCUGAUUUGAGUACAACUGCAGAGGAAAAGAACUUAGAGGAACAUGACAUUCAGGAACUCUCUUCUCCGCUGGUGGUAGAAGAAGAAACUAAUGAAAUCCCGAAGGAAGAAGAAACCUACGCCACGCUUCUAGAAGAAGAGGUAAUCUAGCAUAGGAUAUCAAAAUUUUAGAUUAUUACAUUAUAGUAUUAUCUUGCAAAUUCAAAUUUACAGUUCAUAUCCACAACAGAAAAAGGAAGGGCAUGCAACAUGUAACGAGCCGACUGAGAAAUAUGAGGCAGAGAUUGAGAAAAAUAUUCAGGAGAAAGAUGGCAACACAGUUAGCAAUUCUGAAUCUCUGUCUGGAGAACUGAGUCAUGUAACAGCCUCGCAUGAAUCUGAAACAGAGAUUGAAAGGCAGGACAAAAAUAUUGAUACUGCUGCUGAAGAGAAGGGUCAAGCAACCAUCUUGAAAGAAAACAUUGAUACUGCUCCGGAAGAGAAGGGUCAAGCAACCAUCUUGAAAGGUAAAGCGGCCUCGGAAGUUGAAGAUAUUGGUGUACAAGCAGAGGAAAAAUGUGAAUCAAAAGAGAAUUUGGAGGAGCAUAUUCCAACAGCAGCAGACAAGGUUGAAACAUUCUCGAAGGAAGCUGAGGCAGAAAAUGAGGAGCAGAUAAACAAUAGUGAUGUUGCUGCUGAAGAGAAGGUUCUGGAAACCAUCUUAACAAAUGAAAAAUCCUUCGACGUGGAAGAUACCAAUGUGCAAGCAGAGAAAAAUGUCGAAUCAAAUGAGGACUUGGAGGAGAAUGUUCCAACAGCAGCAGAUGAAGGUGAAACAUUCCCGAAGGAAGCUGAAGCAGAAAGCAAGGAUGAUAUUAAAAAUGCUGAUAUUCCUCAUGCAGAUAUUGAUGGACACGGAGAUGAAAUCGAUAGUUCUGAAGAGAACUUGGAUAAGCAGAUUCCAGCAGGGGAAUGUGAAACAAGCUUGAAAGCAGCCGAAGCAGAAUAUAAGGAGCAGGUCAUACAUGCUGAUAUUGCUCCUGAAGAGAAGGGUCUAGCAACCAUCUUAACAGAUGAAACACCCUUAGACUUUGAGGAUAUUGAGGUAAAAACUGAGGACUGUGCUGAAUCAAAAGAGAAUGUGGAGGAGCAGAUUCCAACAACAGCAAAUGAAGGUGAAAAAAGUACUUAUAUUUCUCAUGAACAUAUUGAAGUACAAGCAGAUGAAAAUUUUAUUACACUAGAGAAUUUGGAGAACCCGAUUCCAACAACAUCAGGUGAACGAGAAACAGGCUUGGGAGAAGCUGAAGCAGAAAUUAAGGAGCAGGUCAAAAGUAUUGAUAUUGUUCCUGAAGAGAUGGCAACCAUCUCAACAACUGAGACACCCUUGGAUGUUGAAGAUAUCGGUGUACAAGCAGAGGAAACUCUCAAAUCAAAAGAGAACGUGGAGGAGCAUAUUCCAACAGCAGCAGAUGAAGGUGAAAAAGUCUUGAAGGAAGCCGAAGCAGAAAACAAGGAGCAGAUUGAUGAGGAAACUUUGAAUUCACAAGAAUCCUCAGACAAAGACAAAGAAGAAGUGACUGAAAUUACAAACACAAAAGAUGACACUGAAAGGGAGGAGGUAAGAUUGGAAUAAUUUUUUUUAUGAGUUUUUCUUUCUGGCUUAUCAUCUGGCUAGUAGUCUCACUAUACGGUUUAGUUAUUGACCCAAAUGCAGGAUUCAUAGCGUCUCUCUGAUAGCUAUGAAUAUGCGAAAAUAAGAUGGUUUAUUUGAAUAUGGUACAAACGAUUUCUAAAAUCUAUUUUCUCCUUAUAUAUUAUGACUGUUUCAUCUCUAAUGUAGGUGCUUGAGACUACCAGUACGGAGCAAGAAACUGGAGAACAUGUGGUACACGACAUUCAUACUGUCCCAGAACCCCCUCGAGAUUCCAUUGAUAAAGAAACAAAUGAAGACAACUCCGCGGAAUAUCAGGUUUACCUGGACACAAACAUAAAGCCUACAAGUGCUAUCCUUUUUCUUCGUCUCCCAGUACAUAACCUAUGUUUUUUUUCCCUUCUAAUGUUAGGAAUGUACUGAGGCAGCUGAUUUGAGUACAAGUGCAGAGGAAAAGAACUUAGAGGAACAUGCCAUUCAGGAACUCUCUUCUCCGCUGGUAGUAGAAGAAGCAACUAACGAAAUCCCAAUGGAAGAAGAAACCUACACUACACUUCUAGAAGAAGAGGUAAUCUAGCAUUCGAUAUCAAAUUUUAGAUUAAAAUACACCAUAGUAUUAUCUUGCAAAUUGAAAUUUACAACUCAUAUUGACAACAGGAAAAGGAAGCGCAUGCAACAUGUAAUGAGCCCAAUGAGGAAUAUGAGGCAGAGAUUGAGAAAAAUAUUCAGGAGAAAGAUGGCAACACAGUUGGCAAUUCUGAAUCUCUGUCCGGAGAACUGAGUCAUGUAACAGCUUUGAAGGAAUCUGAAACAGAGAUCGAAAAGCAGGACAAAAACAUUGAUACUGCUCCUGAAGAGAAGGGUCAAGCAACCAUCUCAGCAGAUGAAACGGCCUCGGAAGUUGAAGAUAUUGAUGUACAAUUAAAGGAGAAUCUUGAGUCAGAAGAGAACUUGGAGGAACAAUUUCCUAUAGCAGCAGUUGAAGGUGAAAUAAUGUCGAAAGAAGCCGAAGCAGAAAACAAGGAGCAGAUAAAAAAUGUUGAUAUUGCUCAUGAAGAUGUUGAUGCACAAGCAGAGAAAACUGUCAAUUCAGAAGAGAACAUAGAUUAUCAGAUUCAGCCAAUAGCACAUGAAGGUGAAACAAGCUUGAAAGAAGCCGAAGCAGAAGAUAAGGAACAGGUCACAUAUGCUGAUAUUGCUCCUGAAGAGAAGGGUCUAGCAACCAUCUUAACAGAUGAGACACCCUUGGAAGCAGAAGAUAUUGGUGUAAAAGCAGAGGAAAGUUUCGAAUCAAAAGAGAAGUCUGAGGAGAAAAUCCAAUCGCAGCUGAUGAAGAUGAAACAUUCUUGAAGGAAGCCGAAGCAGAAAACAAGGAGCAGAUAAAAUAUAGUGAUAUUACUCCUGAAGACAAGGGUCUAGCAACCAUCUUAACAGAUGAAAAGGCUUUGAACAUUGAAGAUAUUGGUUUACAAGCGGAUGAAACUUUCAACACGAGCGAGAACUUGGAGAGUAAGAUUCCAUCAACAGCAGAUGAACAUGAAACAAGCUUGAAAGAAGCCGAAGCAAUAAAUACGGAGCAGUUCAAAUAUACUGAUAUUGUUCCUGAAGAGAAGGGUCUUGCAAACAUUGUAAUGGAUGAAACAUCUUUGGACGUGGAAGAUAUUGAUGUAAAAUCUGAUGAAGUUUCCAAAUCAAAAGAGAACGUGGAAGAGAAGAUUCCAAGUGCAUCACAUGAGCGUGGAACAUUCUUGAAUGAAGCUGAAGCAGAAAGCAAGG